GCGUGAGUGAAGAAGGCCUUAGGGUUGUAAAGCUCUUUCAACGGUGAAGAUGAUGACGGUAGCCGUAGAAGAAGCUCCGGCUAACUCCGUGCCAGCAGCCGCGGUAAUACGGAGGGGGCAAGCGUUGUUCGGAAUUACUGGGCGUAAAGGGCGUGUAGGCGGCUUUGCAAGUCAGGGGUGAAAGGCCUGGGCUCAACCUGGGAACUGCCUUUGAAACUGCGGAGCUUGAGACCGGAAGAGGAUGGCGGAAUUCCCAGUGUAGAGGUGAAAUUCGU
Molecule: ribosomal RNA, 275 nt
Filed under: uncultured bacterium
Lineage: Bacteria
Description: partial 16S ribosomal RNA
Rfam family: Bacterial small subunit ribosomal RNA
Source: RNAcentral